This 88-nucleotide transfer RNA is filed under the name Candidatus Theseobacter exili. RNAcentral describes it as "tRNA-Leu". It matches the Rfam family "tRNA". Rfam says of the family: Transfer RNA (tRNA) molecules are approximately 80 nucleotides in length. Lineage: Bacteria; Pseudomonadati; Candidatus Auribacterota; Candidatus Auribacteria; Candidatus Theseobacterales; Candidatus Theseobacteraceae. The record is from RNAcentral.
GCUGGGGUGGUGGAAUAGGCAGACACGCUAGCUUGAGGGGCUAGUGCCCGUAAUGGGUGUGGGGGUUCAAGUCCCCCUCCCAGCACCA